Molecule: long non-coding RNA, 795 nt
Filed under: Mytilus galloprovincialis (Mediterranean mussel)
Lineage: Eukaryota; Metazoa; Mollusca; Bivalvia; Mytilida; Mytilidae
Source: RNAcentral
AUGGAUAUAUGUAAAAUCGAUGUCAAAUUAAUAAAAACUUGCAGCAACUUUUAUCCCCCCCCAACUAUUUGAAUUCAGGUUUUUUUUAUCCUACAUUGAUCUUUUGAUGUCAUCCCUAAGUUAAUCACUGUUUUCUCUCAUUGACUAUGGUCAGUCCCAAAGUGUUACAAGACAAAAUGAUUCUUUGUAAAAAGAUUCUGUUAAAGUUGACUCUCUUCUUUGGAGAUCAACAAACAAAAUAUUUUUGUGUUUUACAGAAAUGACAACAUGAACACAUAACGCCCAUUUCCGUAAAAACGAGUUCGGGGACAUACCAAUUUUAUUAGCUCAUUAUAAUGCAAAUAGUUAAAUCCUAAAGUUCACAGUUUUUUUACAAAAACGGUGGACCCGGAAAAAGGAUAUUUUUGGCUUUUUGUUGCCAUGGCAACGGGUUUUUUUUAACCCAAAAAUUAAAAAAUCUUGUUUUUAGGAACUUUUUAUGAUUUUUUUAAUUAAAAUUUAUUAUUAAUGAAUGGACCACAAUUAUUUAUACAUGUUUUGUUCAGUUUUAUUUUUUUAUAGUCACUCGCAUACAUUAUUAUUUCAGAAGAAUUGAAAUACAAUUUUCCCUAAAAAUCGUCAAAAAUCGGAAUUUUGAGCUUUUCACAUGAAAAAACUGGACGGGCGAUGUUUGAUUUUUUUUCAUUAAAUGAUUGGGUACUCCUCCCUGAACAAAAUGAUGUAUCAUAUUGGUGUAAUAUCACUAAGAAAAAAAUCCAGGUUUCAUGCAAACCUUACCUUAAAUUCUAUAUUUUA